AAAUGCGUUAAGUAAUGUGAAUUGCAGAAUUCAGUGAAUCAUCGAAUCUUUGAACGCACAUUGCGCCCGCCAGUAUUCUGGCGGGCAUGCCUGUCCGAGCGUCAUUUCAACCAUCAAGCCCCCGGGCUUGUGUUGGGGACCUGCGGCUGCCCGCAGGCCCUGAAAACCAGUGGCGGGCUCGCUGUCACACCGAGCGUAGUAGCAAUCACCUCGCUCAGGGCGUGCUGCGGGUUCCGGCCGUUAAACAGCCUUACAAAACCCCAGGUUGACCUCGGAUCAGGUAGGAAGACCCGCUGAACUUAAGC
This 305-nucleotide unclassified non-coding RNA is filed under the name plant metagenome. Its description in RNAcentral is "partial contains 5.8S ribosomal RNA, internal transcribed spacer 2, and large subunit ribosomal RNA". The stretch from base 1 to 104 matches the Rfam family "5.8S ribosomal RNA", at positions 51 to 154 of the family's 154-position model. The record is from RNAcentral.